RNAcentral lists this ribosomal RNA (406 nucleotides) under uncultured bacterium. Its description in RNAcentral is "partial 16S ribosomal RNA". It matches the Rfam family "Bacterial small subunit ribosomal RNA", at positions 29 to 526 of the family's 1533-position model. The record is from RNAcentral.
AUUGAACGCUGGCGGCAGGCCUAACACAUGCAAGUCGAACGAGUGGCGGACGUGUGAGCAAUGUCUGGGAAACUGCCCGAUGGAGGGGGAUAACUCCUGGAAACGGUAGCUAAUACCGCAUACCAUCGGAUGUGCCCAGAUGGGAUUAGCUAGUAGGUGGGGUAACGGCUCACCUAGGCGACGAUCCCUAGCUGGUCUGAGAGGAUGACCGGGCACACUGGAACGGAGACACGGUGCAGACAUCUACGCGAGGCAGCAGUGGGGAAUAUUGCACAAUGGGCGAAAGCGUGAUGCAGCAAAGCCGCGUGUAUGAAGAAGGCCUUCGGGUGGUAAAGUACUUUCAGCGAGGAGGCGGUACUCGAAGAAGAAGCACCGGCUAACUCCGUGCCAGCAGCCGCGGUAAUUC